UACGAAGGGGGCUAGCGUUGCUCGGAAUCACUGGGCGUAAAGCGCACGUAGGCGGCUUCUUAAGUCAGGGGUGAAAGCCUGGAGCUCAACUCCAGAACUGCCUUUGAUACUGAGGAGCUUGAGUCCGGGAGAGGUGAGUGGAACUCCGAGUGUAGAGGUGAAAUUCGUAGAUAUUCGGAAGAACACCAGUGGCGAAGGCGGCUCACUGGCCCGGUACUGACGCUGAGAUACGAAAGCGUGGGGAGCAAACAGG
This 253-nucleotide ribosomal RNA is filed under the name uncultured bacterium. Its description in RNAcentral is "partial 16S ribosomal RNA". It matches the Rfam family "Bacterial small subunit ribosomal RNA", at positions 524 to 776 of the family's 1533-position model. The record is from RNAcentral.